This 611-nucleotide ribosomal RNA is filed under the name Marinobacter nauticus. RNAcentral's name for it is "bacterial SSU rRNA". It matches the Rfam family "Bacterial small subunit ribosomal RNA", at positions 57 to 660 of the family's 1533-position model. Lineage: Bacteria; Pseudomonadati; Pseudomonadota; Gammaproteobacteria; Pseudomonadales; Marinobacteraceae. The record is from RNAcentral.
GCAGUCGAGCGGUAACAGGGGAAGCUUGCUUCCCGCUGACGAGCGGCGGACGGGUGAGUAAUGCUUAGGAAUCUGCCCAGUAGUGGGGGAUAGCCCGGGGAAACCCGGAUUAAUACCGCAUACGUCCUACGGGAGAAAGCAGGGGAUCUUCGGACCUUGCGCUAUUGGAUGAGCCUAAGUCGGAUUAGCUAGUUGGUGGGGUAAAGGCCUACCAAGGCGACGAUCCGUAGCUGGUCUGAGAGGAUGAUCAGCCACAUCGGGACUGAGACACGGCCCGAACUCCUACGGGAGGCAGCAGUGGGGAAUAUUGGACAAUGGGGGCAACCCUGAUCCAGCCAUGCCGCGUGUGUGAAGAAGGCUUUCGGGUUGUAAAGCACUUUCAGUAGGGAGGAAAACCUUAUGGUUAAUACCCAUGAGGCUUGACGUUACCUACAGAAGAGGCACCGGCUAACUCCGUGCCGGCAGCCGCGGUAAUACGGAGGGUGCAGGCGUUAAUCGGAAUUACUGGGCGUAAAGCGCGCGUAGGUGGUUUGGUAAGCGAGAUGUGAAAGCCUCGGGCUUAACCUGGGAACGGCAUUUCGAACUGUCAGACUAGAGUGUGGUAGAUGGUA